ACUCCUACGGGAGGCAGCAGUGGGGAAUAUUGCACAAUGGGCGCAAGCCUGAUGCAGCCAUGCCGCGUGUAUGAAGAAGGCCUUCGGGUUGUAAAGUACUUUCAGCAGUGAGGAAGGUGGGUAGUGUUAAUAGCAUAUUCUAUUUGUACGUUAGCUGCAGAAGAAGCACCGGCUAACUCCGUGCCAGCAGCCGCGGUAAUACGGAGGGUGCGAGCGUUAAUCGGAAUUACUGGGCGUAAAGCGCAUGCAGGUGGUUGUUAAGUCAGAUGUGAAAGCCCGGGGCUCAACCUCGGAAUUGCAUUUGAAACUGGCAAACUAGAGUACUGUAGAGGGGGUAGAAUUUCAGGUGUAGCGGUGAAAUGCGUAGAGAUCGUGAAGGAAGUACCGGUGGCGAAGGCGGCCCCUGGACAGAUACUGACACUCAGAUGCGAAAGCGUGGGAGCAAACAGGAUUAGAU
This 457-nucleotide ribosomal RNA is filed under the name uncultured bacterium. RNAcentral's name for it is "bacterial SSU rRNA". It matches the Rfam family "Bacterial small subunit ribosomal RNA", at positions 335 to 783 of the family's 1533-position model. The record is from RNAcentral.